CCACCAUCAUCAACAUUCUACGAGUUAUUCAAUGGGGUGUUCCUCCCCAUUUGUAAAAGGGCAAAACUUACAAUCUCCAGCAUUCUUGGAUUUAACAAGAAUUCUAGAUUGGAUCAAUAUGAUUGAGCUGCAGCCAUUGGUACAGAUCUGUAGCAAGCUCUCCUUGCUGCACGAACUAUAUCCUCGACCUGAGGUAAAGCCAUUCUCUCCAGAUUAGCUGCAUAGGGCAUGGGAACAUCAGCUCCAGUAAUUCUCUCAACUGAUGCAUCAAGAUAACCAAAGCUGUCCUCAAUAAUAGAUGCACAGAUUUCAGCGCCAACACCAUGCUGAGGGAAUCCUUCUUCAACUGUCACCAGUCUGUUGGUUUUCCGAACUGAAGCAUUGAUUGCAGGUCUAUCUAGUGGCCUAAUUGAACGCAAAUUUAUAAUCUCAGCACUGAUUCCAUCCUUUGCAAGUAUCUCAGCUGCCUUGAGAGCAUAGCCCACCAUUUUUGAGAAGGCUGUGAUAGUCACAUCCUUUCCUUCUCUCUCAAUCUUGGCUUUUCCUAUAGGAAGGCAAAAACUGGAGUCGAGUACUUCAGCUGAAACAGGAAAUGACUC
Molecule: unclassified non-coding RNA, 599 nt
Filed under: Hevea brasiliensis (rubber tree)
Lineage: Eukaryota; Viridiplantae; Streptophyta; Magnoliopsida; Malpighiales; Euphorbiaceae
Source: RNAcentral